UCUCAUAUUGUUUCUUAAUUCCACGAAAACCACGUUCAAUAGUUUCUUUGGCUCUAUCCAUUGCUUCAUAAAUAUAGCCCAUUGGUGGUUUUUUCUCCCCAUCCACCAAACGAAGCACUUUUGUCAAAGGGCCACAAACUGUAAGUGCUCGAACAACAUCAUCCCAAAAGUGGGCAGAAAUAAUAAGAUUGGCAACAUCUUUACCGAAAGUUUCCUUUGCAAAUUUACUUGAAGUCCAUUCGGUUGAGAGGACUAAAGUUCUCAAGUUUUUUCUUUGUAUGUACAUAGCUCUCAAAGUUAAGAACGCCGUUGCAAAUCUUGUCUUGGCCAGUUUCACCAAAUUUCUUUCCUUGGUGAAUUUUCUCAUCAAGUUUAACAACAAUGGCCUUUGACUAAUGUAAGAAUGGAUUCUGAUGGCUUUCUUAAAAACUGUUAAGGUAAGAUUAUAGUAAUUAGUAGCUAAUAAGUAUUAAAUAUUGACUAUAAAGAAAGUUAGAGGAUAUGAGAGUGAUAUUACCGGAAGCAUAUGGCUUAACCUUGAAUAUGUCACCAAACAUCAAGUUGAUGCAAUGAGCGGCACAUGGAGUCCAAUAAAUGUGUGGGUAUGCACCCAUCAUCAUGCUUCCCGCUUUAACAUUCUCACUAGCAUUAUCAGUGACAAUUUGUACACCAUUUUCCGGUCCAAUUCUUUCAAUAGCAGUGUUUUGGACGGCGAGAGGCGACAAAAGGCGACAAGGGCCUGCCUCGCCACGCGGCGAGGCGAGCGGCGAGGAGAUCGCCUUUUUGAAUCAAGGCGCCAAUUCAUACCAAAAUUAAAAAUAUUUAAUUGCAUAUAUAAAUAUCCAAAAUCUCAAUAGCAAUAACAUAUAUUAGCAAAUAUUUCAAUUCAAAAACAAAAAGUAGAUACUAAAUGUUUAGAACUUUAAAGACCCAAUAAUUCAAAAGAUAAUACUAGAACUCUAAAAGUCUAUUAUUCUUCAAAACUAUCCAACUCUUGAAGAUCAACAUCCUCUACAUCAUUAUAUUGCUCCUCAUCUUCUUCCUCCUCGUAGUCUUCAUCAAUUAGUGUCCGAGUCCUACUUGAAGUUGAACUUGUAGAUGAAGUUUCUACUCCUUUGCCCUUGUCAAGUGCUCUUGAUCUUGAAGAAAGUCCCCUAAGAUGAUAGAUACUCUCAUCAGCUCCAAUUGCCGUAGCAACACUACCCCAAGUAAGAUCAGCAUCCUCAUAUACUAGUUCAUCUUUUUUUAUAUUCGGGGCAUCCAACUAACCAUUCAUUUGAAUCAUCAAUGUUAUCCAAGCGAAUUGGAUCAAUGAGAUCACGAGCAUCAUAACGACGUUUCAAUGUUCUAUUGUACUUAAUGUACACUAGAUCAUUGAGACGCGAUAGUGCAAGCCUAUUCCUCUUUUUGGAAUGAAUAUACACAUACGUUACAGAUAUUAACUAAUAGAUAUUGAUAAUAAUAUAAUAUGGAAAUUAGGAUAAAAUUUUUUUACUUACGUGUUCACACACACUCUAAUUUUGUUCACAUCCGGAUGAGCUACAAGUUAGGCUUAAUACUUUAAUGACAAACUUUUGCAAGUUUGGUGUUUCACUAUCAAAUAGUGACCACCAUUCCACUAUAAUAAAAUAAAUUUAGAGGCUAAUGAGUGUAAAUAAGUCGAAUAAUUUAAGUAAGAGCUAAAUUAACUCACUUACCCGGUGACCUUGUGACUCUAGCUCUUUUAGCCGGACCACAACCAAAUAGUCCAUUCGCCAUUUUGUACCUAGGAAGCUCAACGACUAGUAAAUCUUGUAUUGUUGUAUCGGAGAUCAGUUACUCAACACAUGCAUAAUACUCGGUCCAUAGACUCUGUAGUAAAGUUCCCUCUUCUUGAGCUUUAUAAUACAAUAAUGGGUUCAAAACACGGCCUGCAGCAUGCAAAGGCCGAUGGAAUUGGUCUAACCACCUUGCAUCUAUAAUUUCAAACACUUUCUCAUAUUGCUUCUUAAUUCCACAAAAACCCCGUUCAAUAGUUUCUUUGGCUCUAUCCAUUGCUUCAUAAAUAUUGCCCAUUUGUGGGUUUUUUUACCCAUCCACCAAACGAAGUACUUUUGUCAAAGGGCCACAAAAUGUAAGUGCUCGAACAACAUCAUCCCAAAAGUGGGCAAAAAUAUUAAGAUUGGCAACAUCUUUCCCGAUAGUUUCCUUUGCAAAUUUACUUGAAGUCCAUUCGGUUGAGAGGACUAAAGUUCUCAAGUUUUUUC
This 2246-nucleotide long non-coding RNA is filed under the name Solanum tuberosum (potato). RNAcentral's name for it is "long non-coding RNA (STUB_LNC009291)". Lineage: Eukaryota; Viridiplantae; Streptophyta; Magnoliopsida; Solanales; Solanaceae. The record is from RNAcentral.